This 260-nucleotide long non-coding RNA is filed under the name Lathyrus oleraceus (garden pea). Its description in RNAcentral is "Pisum sativum (pea) long non-coding RNA (PSAT_LNC008627)". Lineage: Eukaryota; Viridiplantae; Streptophyta; Magnoliopsida; Fabales; Fabaceae. The record is from RNAcentral.
AAAAUCUCAAAAAAAAGUGAGUAAACCAAAGUUAAUCAUUUUUGCAAGUUUGACUCUAAACUAUCUCAAAAGACCAACCAAGAACAAGCAACCAUUUUUAAUCAAAAAAAUAGAACCUAAAAGUUAAAAAGUUUAAGUUAAAAUCAUUGCCCAAAAAAUGUGAAAAAGCUAGGUAGAAAUGGUGUUGAGCUUGAAUGUGAAGCAAGGGAUUUGGGAUGAAAAUAUUUGUGGUGAAAGCUUAGUAAAGGGGUUGAGUUAUG